Molecule: unclassified non-coding RNA, 387 nt
Filed under: soil metagenome
Description: partial contains 5.8S ribosomal RNA, internal transcribed spacer 2, and large subunit ribosomal RNA
Rfam family: 5.8S ribosomal RNA (bases 1-120)
Source: RNAcentral
GAUGAAGAACGCAGCGAAAUGCGAUAAGUAAUGUGAAUUGCAGAAUUCAGUGAAUCAUCGAAUCUUUGAACGCACAUUGCGCCCAUUAGUAUUCUAGUGGGCAUGCCUGUUCGAGCGUCAUUAAGUCCACUUAAGCCCUGCUUAGUGUUGGGAAUCUACUCUAGUGGUGCUACCCUGGAGCUACCCCUGAAAGGGGGCUGGCCCGGUAGCUACCCUGUAGUUCCUCAAAGAUAGUGCGCGGAGUUGCGUGGUCCUCUGAGCUUAGUAACUAUACACCUAGCUUUUGAGUGUCCCGCGGCGCCUGCCGUUUAAACCCCAUCUUUUAAUGGUUGACCUCGGAUCAGGUAGGAAUACCCGCUGAACUUAAGCAUAUCAAUAAGCGGAGGA